This 125-nucleotide non-coding RNA is filed under the name Ctenophora environmental sample. Lineage: Eukaryota; Metazoa; Ctenophora. The record is from RNAcentral.
AAAAAAAAUAAAAAAAAUGAAUGAAUAAAUAAAGCUCAGCAAAAAAAAAAAAAAGAAAAGGGAAAAAAAAAAAAGAACUGAUUUUUGAAAAGCUUUAAUUAAAAGUUCGAUUUGUUUUUUUUUUU